GACGAACGCUGGCGGCGUGCCUAACACAUGCAAGUCGAGCGAGUGAAUCUCCUUCGGGAGUGAAGCUAGCGGCGGACGGGUGAGUAACACGUGGGCAACCUGCCUCAUAGAGGGGAAUAGCCUUCCGAAAGGGAGAUUAAUACCGCAUAAGAUUGUAGCUUCGCAUGAAGUAGCAAUUAAAGGAGCAAUCCGCUAUGAGAUGGGCCCGCGGCGCAUUAGCUAGUUGGUGAGGUAAUGGCUCACCAAGGCGACGAUGCGUAGCCGACCUGAGAGGGUGAUCGGCCACAUUGGGACUGAGACACGGCCCAGACUCCUACGGGAGGCAGCAGUGGGGAAUAUUGCACAAUGGGGAAACCCUGAUGCAGCAACGCCGCGUGAGUGAUGACGGCCUUGGUUCGUAAGGACUACUGUCUUCUAGGGACGGAUAAUAGACGGUACCUAGUAGGAGGAAGGACCGACGGCCGUAACUACCGUGCCACGCAGCCGACC
This 489-nucleotide ribosomal RNA is filed under the name uncultured bacterium. Its description in RNAcentral is "bacterial SSU rRNA". It matches the Rfam family "Bacterial small subunit ribosomal RNA", at positions 28 to 521 of the family's 1533-position model. The record is from RNAcentral.